Molecule: ribosomal RNA, 380 nt
Filed under: uncultured eukaryote
Lineage: Eukaryota
Description: partial 18S ribosomal RNA
Rfam family: Eukaryotic small subunit ribosomal RNA
Source: RNAcentral
CAAUAGCGUAUGUUAAAGUUGUUGCAGUUAAAAAGCUCGUAGUUGGAUUUGUGGCGUACGGUGUGUUCCGGGCACUUGUUGUCUGAGUAACCUGCUGUUGCCAUCCUUGGGUGGAUCCUGUGUGGCAUUAGGUUGUCGUGCAGGGGAUGCCCAUCAUUUACUGUGAAAAAAUUAGAGUGUUCAAAGCAGGCUUAUGCCGUUGAAUAUAUUAGCAUGGAAUAAUGAGAUAGGACUUUUUUGCUAUUUUGUUGGUUUGCGCAAAGAGGUAAUGAUUAAUAGGGACAGUUGGGGGUAUUCGUAUUCCAUUGUCAGAGGUGAAAUUCUUGGAUUUUUGGAAGACGAACUACUGCGAAAGCAUUUACCAAGGAUGUUUUCAUUAA